RNAcentral lists this long non-coding RNA (303 nucleotides) under Ananas comosus (pineapple). RNAcentral's name for it is "long non-coding RNA (ACOM_LNC002189)". The record is from RNAcentral. Lineage: Eukaryota; Viridiplantae; Streptophyta; Magnoliopsida; Poales; Bromeliaceae.
AACGGUAAAACAUCCUAACACUUAAACGAUACAGCACAUCACCAAAUUAUUAAUCAACAAAGCAAAAGUAAGAAGAUAUUCAAAUCAACCACAACCAUUGUCGCAAACCAAACUUACUCUCAAUUUGUAAUCCUAUAUUUCACAAUCCUCUUAUAGAAUCGUAAUUUACGAUUCGCCACACAACACGUCACCAAACUAAUCAACAAAUUGUAAGUAACAAACAAUCCAAAUCAUACUCUACUUGAAAGAUGCCAAAAAGAGGAGAGAGAGGAGAGAGAGGAGAGAGAGAGGGAGGGACCUCUU